CUUGAUGGUAGUGUAUUGGACUACAGUGCCUAUAACGGGUAGCGGAGGAUUAGGGUUCGAUUCCGGAGAGGGAGCCUGAGAAACGGCUACCACAUCCAAGGAAGGCAGCAGGCGCGCAAAUUACCCAAUCCCAACUCAGGGAGGUAGUGACAAGAAAUAGCAAUGCGGGGCUUCUUGCUCUGCAAUUGGAAUGAGAACAAUUUAAAUCACUUAACGAGUAUCAAUUGGAGGGCAAGUCUGGUGCCAGCAGCCGCGGUAAUUCCAGCUCCAAUAGCGUAUAUGUAAGUUGUUGCGAUUAAAAAGCCCGUAGCUGAACCUCGGGCAACCCUGACGGUCCGCGUUUCGUGAGUACUGUCGUGGGUUGUCUUUCUGGCAAGACCGUAUCUCGGCGUUAACUCGCCGGGAACGGCGCUUGCCAAGGUUACUUUGAGUAAAAUAGAGUGUUCAAAGCAAGCUCGCGCUCUGAAUACACUAGCAUGGGAUAACACGACAUGACCGAUGGUCUACCUUGUUGGCCUGUAGACCUGUUGGUAAUGGCUAAUAGGGACGGUCGGGGGCAUUCGUAUUUCGCUGUCAGAGGUGAAAUUCUUGGAUUUGCGAAAGACGAACUACUGCGAAAGCAUUUGCCAAGGACGCUUUCAUUAGUCAAGGACGAAAGUCGGGGGAUCAAAGACGAUUAGAUACCGU
This 687-nucleotide ribosomal RNA is filed under the name uncultured eukaryote. Its description in RNAcentral is "SSU rRNA". It matches the Rfam family "Eukaryotic small subunit ribosomal RNA", at positions 321 to 1018 of the family's 1831-position model. The record is from RNAcentral.